ACCAAAGAAUUCAUGUGGAUGAUGAUGUGACUUGCAUGCAAAUAUAUAGGCAUUGGUUGGCGUUGGAUAAUUCCCUUCGCAGUUCAGUAGCUGUCGCCACAAUUUGGCGGGAAACUUCCACCAUUGCCAACAUCUUUCGUUUUAAGCAUGUGAUCAUUUUGGAAACCUCCUCCCCUAUUUGUUGCUGUGACUGGGGUCCAUGCAGUUGGUUGCAGGGGUCAUUAGAUGGUUGUUGUUUGCUUUUUUAAAUAAUUUUGUUUCUAACUGCUAAUAAUUAAUUACACAUAUGUGGGGAAUGGG
RNAcentral lists this long non-coding RNA (300 nucleotides) under Androctonus crassicauda. The record is from RNAcentral. Lineage: Eukaryota; Metazoa; Arthropoda; Arachnida; Scorpiones; Buthidae.